CGUUCAACCUCAAAAGAAGCAGAGGGGGCUUAGUGGUGGGGUGACUGCGUACCUUUUGUAUAAUGGGUCAGCGACUUAUAUUCUGUAGCAAGGUUAACCGCAUAGGGGAGCCGAAGGGAAACCGAGUCUUAAUUGGGCGUUAAGUUGCAGGGUAUAGACCCGAAACCCGGUGAUCUAGCCAUGGGCAGGUUGAAGGUUGGGUAACACUAACUGGAGGACCGAACCGACUAAUGUUGAAAAAUUAGCGGAUGACCUGUGGCUGGGGGUGAAAGGCCAAUCAAACCGGGAGAUAGCUGGUUCUCCCCGAAAGCUAUUUAGGUAGCGCCUCGUGAACUCAUCUCCGGGGGUAGAGCACUGUUUCGGCUAGGGGGCCAUCCCGGCUUACCAACCCGAUGCAAACUGCGAAUACCGGAGAAUGUUAUCACGGGAGACACACGGCGGGUGCUAACGUCCGUCGUGAAGAGGGAAACAACCCAGACCGCCAGCUAAGGUCCCAAAGUCAUGGUUAAGUGGGAAACGAUGUGGGAAGGCCCAGACAGCCAGGAUGUUGGCUUAGAAGCAGCCAUCAUUUAAAGAAAGCGUAAUAGCUCACUGGUCGAGUCGGCCUGCGCGGAAGAUGUAACGGGGCUAAACCAUGCACCGAAGCUGCGGCAGCGACACUUUAGUGUUGUUGGGUAGGGGAGCGUUCUGUAAGCCGUUGAAGGUGUCCUGUGAGGGGUGCUGGAGGUAUCAGAAGUGCGAAUGCUGACAUAAGUAACGAUAAAGCGGGUGAAAAGCCCGCUCGCCGGAAGACCAAGGGUUCCUGUCCAACGUUAAUCGGGGCAGGGUGAGUCGACCCCUAAGGCGAGGCCGAAAGGCGUAGUCGAUGGGAAACGGGUUAAUAUUCCCGUACUUGGUGUUACUGCGAAGGGGGGACGGAGAAGGCUAUGUUGGCCGGGCGACGGUAGUCCCGGUUUAAGCGUGUAGGUGUGUGUUCCAGGUAAAUCCGGUUCACUUUAACACUGAGGCGUGAUGACGAGGCACCACGGUGCUGAAGCAACAAAUGCCCUGCUUCCAGGAAAAGCCUCUAAGCAUCAGGUAACAUCAAAUCGUACCCCAAACCGACACAGGUGGUCAGGUAGAGAAUACCAAGGCGCUUGAGAGAACUCGGGUGAAGGAACUAGGCAAAAUGGUGCCGUAACUUCGGGAGAAGGCACGCUGACAC
Molecule: ribosomal RNA, 1204 nt
Filed under: Salmonella enterica
Lineage: Bacteria; Pseudomonadati; Pseudomonadota; Gammaproteobacteria; Enterobacterales; Enterobacteriaceae
Description: partial 23S ribosomal RNA
Rfam family: Bacterial large subunit ribosomal RNA
Source: RNAcentral